GGGAUAACACUUGGAAACAGGUGCUAAUACCGUAUAACACUAUUUUCCGCAUGGAAGAAAGUUGAAAGGCGCUUUUGCGUCACUGAUGGAUGGACCCGCGGUGCAUUAGCUAGUUGGUGAGGUAACGGCUCACCAAGGCCACGAUGCAUAGCCGACCUGAGAGGGUGAUCGGCCACACUGGGACUGAGACACGGCCCAGACUCCUACGGGAGGCAGCAGUAGGGAAUCUUCGGCAAUGGACGAAAGUCUGACCGAGCAACGCCGCGUGAGUGAAGAAGGUUUUCGGAUCGUAAAACUCUGUUGUUAGAGAAGAACAAGGAUGAGAGUAAAAUGUUCAUCCCUUGACGGUAUCUAACCAGAAAGCCACGGCUAACUACGUGCCAGCAGCCGCGGUAAUACGUAGGUGGCAAGCGUUGUCCGGAUUUAUUGGGCGUAAAGCGAGCGCAGGCGGUUUCUUAAGUCUGAUGUGAAAGCCCCCGGCUCAACCGGGGAGGGUCAUUGGAAACUGGGAGACUUGAGUGCAGAAGAGGAGAGUGGAAUUCCAUGUGUAGCGGUGAAAUGCGUAGAUAUAUGGAGGAACACCAGUGGCGAAGGCGGCUCUCUGGUCUGUAACUGACGCUGAGGCUCGAAAGCGUGGGGAGCGAACAGGAUUAGAUACCCU
RNAcentral lists this ribosomal RNA (661 nucleotides) under uncultured bacterium. RNAcentral's name for it is "bacterial SSU rRNA". It matches the Rfam family "Bacterial small subunit ribosomal RNA", at positions 140 to 788 of the family's 1533-position model. The record is from RNAcentral.